AUUGCCCUAGUAACGGCGAGUGAAGCGGCAACAGCUCAAAUUUGAAAUCUGGCCCUAGCGGUCCGAGUUGUAAUUUGUAGAGGAUGCUUUUGGUGAGGUGCCUUCCGAGUUCCCUGGAACGGGACGCCGGAGAGGGUGAGAGCCCCGUACGGUUGGACGCCAAACCUCUGUAUAGCUCCUUCGACGAGUCGAGUAGUUUGGGAAUGCUGCUCUAAAUGGGAGGUAAAUUUCUUCUAAAGCUAAAUACCGGCCAGAGACCGAUAGCGCACAAGUAGAGUGAUCGAAAGAUGAAAAGCACUUUGAAAAGAGGGUUAAAUAGCACGUGAAAUUGUUGAAAGGGAAGCGUUUGCGACCAGACUUUUUCCAGGCGGAUCAUCCGGCGUUCUCGCCGGUGCACUCCGCCUGGUUGAGGCCAGCAUCGGUUUCCUUAGGGGGAUAAAGGCCUGGGGAACGUAGCUCCUUCGGGAGUGUUAUAGCCCCUGGCGUAAUACCCCUCGGGGGACCGAGGAACGCGCUCUGCAAGGAUGCUGGCGUAAUGGUCGUCAACGACCCGUCUUGAAACACGGACCAAGGAGUCGAACAUUUGUGCGAGUGUUUGGGUGUCAAACCCUCACGCGUAAUGAAAGUGAACGGAGGUGAGAGCCCUUACGGGUGCAUCAUCGACCGAUCCUGAUGUCUUCGGAUGGAUUUGAGUAAGAGCAUAACUGUUCGGACCCGAAAGAUGGUGAACUAUGCGUGGAUAGGGUGAAGCCAGAGGAAACUCUGGUGGAGGCUCGCAGCGGUUCUGACGUGCAAAUCGAUCGUCAAAUCUGCGCAUGGGGGCGAAAGACUUAUCGAACCAUCUAGUAGCUGGUUACCGCCGAU
This 864-nucleotide ribosomal RNA is filed under the name Daldinia eschscholtzii. Its description in RNAcentral is "partial large subunit ribosomal RNA". It matches the Rfam family "Eukaryotic large subunit ribosomal RNA", at positions 74 to 965 of the family's 3401-position model. The record is from RNAcentral. Lineage: Eukaryota; Fungi; Ascomycota; Sordariomycetes; Xylariales; Hypoxylaceae.